AGGGCCUUUGAGAGGUGAUUAGGCGAUGAGAGUGGAGCCUCAUGAACAGGAUUAGAGCCCUUAUAAAAGGACCCCGGAGAAGUCCCUUGUCCCCUUCUGC
Non-coding RNA from Ceratotherium simum simum (southern white rhinoceros), 100 nucleotides. Lineage: Eukaryota; Metazoa; Chordata; Mammalia; Perissodactyla; Rhinocerotidae. The record is from RefSeq and is a predicted model, not a curated record.